ACUCCUACGGGAGGCAGCAGUGGGGAAUAUUGCACAAUGGGCGCAAGCCUGAUGCAGCCAUGCCGCGUGUAUGAAGAAGGCCUUCGGGAUGUAAAGUACUUUCAGCGGGGAGGAAGGCGAUAAGGUUAAUAACCUUGUUGAUUGACGUUACCCGCAGAAGAAGCACCGGCUAACUCCGUGCCAGCAGCCGCGGUAAUACGGAGGGUGCAAGCGUUAAUCGGAAUUACUGGGCGUAAAGCGCACGCAGGCGGUCUGUCAAGUCGGAUGUGAAAUCCCCGGGCUCAACCUGGGAACUGCAUUCGAAACUGGCAGGCUAGAGUCUUGUAGAGGGGGGUAGAAUUCCAGGUGUAGCGGUGAAAUGCGUAGAGAUCUGGAGGAAUACCGGUGGCGAAGGCGGCCCCCUGGACAAAGACUGACGCUCAGGUGCGAAAGCGUGGGGAGCAAACAGGAUUAGAAACCCUAGUAGUCCC
RNAcentral lists this ribosomal RNA (470 nucleotides) under uncultured organism. RNAcentral's name for it is "partial 16S ribosomal RNA". It matches the Rfam family "Bacterial small subunit ribosomal RNA", at positions 335 to 797 of the family's 1533-position model. The record is from RNAcentral.